This 305-nucleotide ribosomal RNA is filed under the name uncultured bacterium. RNAcentral describes it as "bacterial SSU rRNA". It matches the Rfam family "Bacterial small subunit ribosomal RNA", at positions 334 to 636 of the family's 1533-position model. The record is from RNAcentral.
AUCACCUACGGGAGGCAGCAGUGAGGAAUAUUGGUCAAUGGGCGAGAGCCUGAACCAGCCAAGUCGCGUGAAGGAUGACGGCCCUAUGGGUUGUAAACUUCUUUUGUCAGGGAGCAAUUGGGUCCACGCGUGGGCUUAGCGAGAGUACCUGAAGAAAAAGCAUCGGCUAACUCCGUGCCAGCAGCCGCGGUAAUACGGAGGAUGCGAGCGUUAUCCGGAUUUAUUGGGUUUAAAGGGUGCGUAGGCGGGAUGCCAAGUCAGCGGUCAAAUACGGGGGCUCAACCUGCGUCCGCCGUUGAAACUGG